RNAcentral lists this ribosomal RNA (465 nucleotides) under uncultured bacterium. RNAcentral's name for it is "partial 16S ribosomal RNA". It matches the Rfam family "Bacterial small subunit ribosomal RNA", at positions 28 to 507 of the family's 1533-position model. The record is from RNAcentral.
GACGAACGCUGGCGGCGUGCUUAACACAUGCAAGUCGAGCGGUAAGGCCCCUUCGGGGGUAUACGAGCGGCGAACGGGUGAGUAACACGUGAGCAAUCUGCCCAUCACAUCGGGAUAACUCCGGGAAACCGAAGCUAAUACCGAAUACGACCACCUCCGGCAUCGGAUGGUGGUGGAAAGUUCCGGCGGUGAUGGAUGAGCUCGCGGCCUAUCAGCUUGUUGGUGGGGUAACGGCCCACCAAGGCUUCGACGGGUAGCCGGCCUGAGAGGGUGACCGGCCACACUGGGACUGAGACACGGCCCAGACUCCUACGGGAGGCAGCAGUGGGGAAUAUUGGACAAUGGGCGAAAGCCUGAUCCAGCAACGCCGCGUGAGGGAUGACGGCCUUCGGGUUGUAAACCUCUUUCAGCAGGGACGAAGCGCAAGUGACGGUACCUGCAGAAGAAGCACCGGCCAACUACGUG